AUACUUAUCGCUUCCGAUACGAUAGUCGAUUAAUGUUGCAUAUCGAAAAAAAAAAUGAUAAAUUAAUGAACAAAACUAUUUUUUCACGGUUCAAAUCAAACUGAUUGUUUCAUAUGUAGUUAACGUUCACGUGCGCUUUAUUUUGAUUCGCGUUGUUUCAAUUUAAAUUGAUGAUAACGACCGUUUACACUUAAUCAUCGUUCGAGAAGUUGUACUCAUUGCAUAUUGUGAUUCAAACAACAUUGAAUGUAUACCAAUUUGAAUUUGAAGAUUGAUGAAAAGUGAUAUCAAACAACAUCAAAAGAACAAAAUACAAAGAAAAAGCCAGACCAGCUUAAAUAUCACAUAUCGAUCCCAGCCCAUUAAAAACACCCACGAAUUAACCGCAAAGAACUCGCAACUAUGGCAAUCAAUUCAAUUCUUAAUCUUGUGUCGACGAUUUUUAUCUUAUUCAUGUUCGUUGCGUACAUAGCUUCGUUCAUCUGCGUAACGAUUCACAUGUAUAAAUUCAUCAGAAGUAAACCACCGCAGAGCUUGACGAUAAAAAAUCUCACCUUCUACACAUUUAUUUUAUUUUUAUACUACGUUCAUUAUUUCAUCAUGAUGAUCUACUUGAAAGUAAACAAAAAUGGCAUACUGGAACCGAUGUUAUAUGCCAUUAAAACUGAUCUAACGUUGAUAACCAUGUGUCUAAAAUUCAUUAUGGCAAUAGAUAUUUGCUUAUGUUUUCGAAAAAUCGCGCUGUAUCUACAAUCGUCUCCACAAUUCGAUACGAAAAAAUUUAUAAUUUAUUGUCUGACAGGUUCAUUACCACCUUCGUUACUUGUCAUUAUCACUAAUAUCACUAAAGUACUUUUCAAAUACGACGGUGAACCUAUUCUGAUUUGGGCUGGACUCGUCAUUCCUAUCAUACGCUUAGUUCCGAUUUUCUGUUCGAUUUGGUAUUUAAGAAAAAACACUGUAGACAGAAACGAGUUGUGGAAAAACUUCGCUCUGCAGAUGCGUCUUUUCGUACUGAUUGGAGGAUUUUCUUCGAUAAUCGACUUUUGCGAAAUGAUUUUCAUCGUAAUUACCAAUGUGUGGGGCUUUAGGGGCAUAGGAGGUGUAGAUAUACAUAACACUGUAAUAACGGUGAUGCAAUAUGGUAUUUUCGUGGAAGGAGUUGCCAUUGCUGUGGCAUUCACAUUCAAAGCAGAUACACUGAAACCUGUAGGUAGGAAACCUUCGUGUACGACGACGGAAACUUUCACAGUGAAUGUGAAAUGCUGAAAGUCGAGGAUUUGGGAUUCGAAACGAAUGGCAAAGAAAUCAAGGUGCUAAGUUGACCCAAGUGCAAAAAAUUUUUUAUAAUGUAUUAAAAAUGUCAGAGAGUUUGUUCGAAUAUGUCAAGUUUUUCAUUUACCUAUGUUAUAAGUCUUUUUCUUAUUGAAAUCAAUUCAUCUCAAUUAUCAUUAGAUUUGUAAUAAUGCUUUCAUUAUAUGUAAUAAUAAUUAUCAAAUAAAACUUUUUUUUUAUUUUGAGA
This is a long non-coding RNA of Planococcus citri (citrus mealybug), 1522 nucleotides long. RefSeq lists it as uncharacterized. The record is from RefSeq and is a predicted model, not a curated record. NCBI's taxonomy places the organism in Eukaryota, Metazoa, Arthropoda, Insecta, Hemiptera, Pseudococcidae. The transcript has 3 exons.